GACGAACGCUGGCGGCGUGCUUAACACAUGCAAGUCGAACGGAAAGGCCCCUUUGGGGGUACUCGAGUGGCGAACGGGUGAGUAACACGUGAGUAACCUGCCCUUGACUUCGGGAUAACUUCAGGAAACUGGGGCUAAUACCGGAUAGGAAUCCUUGCUGCAUGGUGGGGGUUGGAAAGCUUCGGCGGUUUUGGAUGGACUCGCGGCUUAUCAGCUUGUUGGUGGUGUAGUGGCUUACCAAGGCUUUGACGGGUAGCCGGCCUGAGAGGGCGACCGGCCACAUUGGGACUGAGAUACGGCCCAGACUCCUACGGGAGGCAGCAGUGGGGAAUAUUGCACAAUGGGCGGAAGCCUGAUGCAGCAACGCCGCGUGCGGGAUGACGGCCUUCGGGUUGUAAACCGCUUUCAGCAGGGGCGAAGCUUGUGGUGACGGUACCUGCAGAAGAAGCACCGGCUAACUACGUG
Molecule: ribosomal RNA, 465 nt
Filed under: uncultured bacterium
Lineage: Bacteria
Description: partial 16S ribosomal RNA
Rfam family: Bacterial small subunit ribosomal RNA
Source: RNAcentral